Aphis gossypii (cotton aphid) is the source of this 630-nucleotide long non-coding RNA. RefSeq lists it as uncharacterized. The record is from RefSeq and is a predicted model, not a curated record. Lineage: Eukaryota; Metazoa; Arthropoda; Insecta; Hemiptera; Aphididae. The transcript has 2 exons.
UUAAACCAUGAUGGCAUGAUCCGAGACAUUCUGAGUGGUUAAAACCACGGUAUUGUUAGAUUACUACUCGAGUAGGUAAUGACACAAUGUUGUUCAACAAUUGUUUAAAUUAUAAUUUAAUUUAGGGAAUUAACUUGGUCUGUUGGGCACGGUCACACACCAUUUAUAAAAUAUCGAGGGAACAAGAACUUAUCCCGGGGGAGGCAGUCGUCCGCUCUUGCCUUCCCACUUGGCGCCGUCCCUGCAAUCUACCCACACUCGUCAACCACGACCGUUGCGCUAGCAUUUUCUAGAAAUGUUAUUCUAUCGCUGUCAUCGACUAUAGGCCUGCAAUACAUUGCUAUUAAAAUAUUAGCAUAAUAUGCGGACGCGGAUGGUGUCGGAUCAUUUCCCGAUUAUUCACGAUGUGUGAUUCCUUUUUUUAUUAGGUCAAUUCACUCUUAUAUAUCAAAACUAACAGCACGCUAUGGAAACUGGUAAACGAAAAUUUGCUAUGUGGUACGUGUGUAAAACGAAGACAACGCUUACGGAUACGACAGUCCUUUUAAGACUAAGUAAUUGAACGUUAAAGCCUACAUCGCAGUACUUAUAUGUAUCAUAUUUAAAAUAAAAUAUAUUUUAUAAACACGA